GAUGAACGCUAGCUACAGGCUUAACACAUGCAAGUCGCGGGGCAGCAUGGGGGUUGCUUGCAAUCCCCGAUGGCGACCGGCGCACGAGUGAGUAACGCGUAUCCAACCUGCCCUUCACCACGGGAUAACCCGGCGAAAGUCGGACUAAUACCGUAUGUUGUCCAUUGACGGCAUCCGAUUUGGACGAAAGGUUUGGCGGUGAAGGAUGGGGAUGCGUCCGAUUAGCUGGACGGCGGGGUGACGGCCCACCGUGGCGACGAUCGGUAGGGGUUCUGAGAGGAAGGUCCCCCACACUGGAACUGAGACACGGUCCAGACUCCUACGGGAGGCAGCAGUGAGGAAUAUUGGUCAAUGGGCGUAAGCCUGAACCAGCCAAGUAGCGUGCAGGAUGACGGCCCUAUGGGUUGUAAACUGCUUUUAUGCGGGGAUAAAGUGGCCCACGUGUGGGUUUUUGCAGGUACCGCAUGAAUAAGGACCGGCUAAUUCCGUG
RNAcentral lists this ribosomal RNA (490 nucleotides) under uncultured bacterium. RNAcentral describes it as "partial 16S ribosomal RNA". It matches the Rfam family "Bacterial small subunit ribosomal RNA", at positions 28 to 507 of the family's 1533-position model. The record is from RNAcentral.